AUUGCAGAAAUUAUUAGAAACGCGGAGCCGUCGGCGGCGGCUCCUACCGUGAAGGGAGAAAGCCAAAGCGGCACGAGGCGGCCAUCGGCCGACCGUUACUACUGAGUAGCGGCGAAGCUGAGUACAUACAGAUGAGAUUGAAGCGGGAGGAUUGCGAUCUCACGAAGCACGACUUCAUUUUCUCCAAAUGGGAGAUUCUCAUUGGGCCAAAUGAUUGGAAGGAUCAUGCUUCCGGCAAAGAUGGAGUUGAAAGAUAUAGGAUUCAUAAUCUUCCAGCAGCCUCUUCAUGUACUGGUCUUUAUGAGCUUGGUGUAGCUUCCAUUCCCACCACUGAAGGCCACAGACUGCGGAAGCUUGAUUGGGAGAACGUUAUAGUUGUUUACCUUGGACAAGCUGAUAAUGUUAGAACAAGACUCCAAGAAUAUGGACGUUCAGGAUCCCAUUUGGACCAUGGAAAUCUUAUUACUCAUCGCAAAAAUUCUGAAAGCUCUUCUGCAGUAGGACUUGGACUAUUCAAAGACAUCUUCUCAAAAGGCUACUCAAUUAUGUUUAGAUGGGCUCCAAUAAAAAGCAAGAUGGAAGCUGAGAAGAUCGAGAUUCAACUGCUCCGAAUUUUUGAUUAUGCAUGGAAUAGAAAAGGAAAUGGUAUGUGCCGCCAUGCUGAAAUUCUUGCAAUGUUAGUUCAAAAUUCACCGAAUUCAGGCCACAGCCCUCUGAGAAGGCUUUUGCAGUGGAAACAGAAAACAUUCAGUAAGAGAGAGGGCAUAAACAUUGAUUCAGUUGUUCCGUUUUCUGAAAAGUUAGCACCAUCUCCUGGGCUCAAAGGCUUUUUACUUCCUGGAAUCCUCAAGUUUUCUUCUUCCCAGCUCCAAUUCCUUCCACAAGAUAUCAACUCUGUAAAUGAUCAAAUUAUCUGUGGUAUAGCCACUGGUCAUGGGCUUAUUUGCAUAAAGCAGCCACUGCCCGGGAGAAAAAGGUGUGCUGAACACAAAGGAAGGAAAAUUACAGCCAGUGGUUCAGCUUCAGGAAGAAUGACUUCUUCCUGUGACAUUUUCCUAGAAGAUGGAACAAAGGGAUGUGAGUUUAGCGAUGGAAGAAGAGUCACUAUACCUCUUUUAGAUGAAGUUGUUUCACCGUCUCAGCAAUACCAGUCACAAUUAGCCCAAGAAAAGUUUCACCAUGACAAAGAGGAGAAUGUUAUUUGUGGAGUGGUCUGUGGUGAUGGUUGUGUGUGUAAAAGAAGGCCAGUUUUAGGGAGGAAAAGAUGUGAAAGUCACAAAGGACAGAGAGUUCUUGCAGCCGUGCCAUCUGUUGACAAAAUAUUGAACUCUCUACCGUUGAACAACUUCUGUGGAGUGAUCAAUGGUAAUGGCUAUGCCUGUAGUAGGCCGCCGGUUCCUGGAAGGAAGAGGUGUGAGGAGCACAAAGGAAGAAGGAUUGUGUCAGCUGGUAACAUCAAUGUAUCAAGAGCUGAAUAAAGCUUUCCAGUUUGUAGUGCUACUUCAAUCGCCCUCCAGAAAGGAAGAGAUACGAGGCAGUAAGCUCAAUGCGCCUGCUCAAUAAGCUAAAGCAACAGCAGAAAUAGAUUGGUUAUUAGGCCGGUCUUUAAUAUUGUUGUUAUUAUUAUUAGUGUGUUAUUUGUUACGACCAAAUGAAUUUGAAUUGAAUUACUUUAUUCUUAGGCUUGCUUGCUUUGUUUAAAAAACUAAUGCAAUGUAAAAAUAUUAUCUAUUUUGUAGGGGAAAAUAAAAAUAAUGUACUGUAUUUGAAUUA
RNA transcript from Phalaenopsis equestris, 1773 nucleotides. It is a transcript of the gene named protein EFFECTOR OF TRANSCRIPTION 2-like, with no coding region annotated. Lineage: Eukaryota; Viridiplantae; Streptophyta; Magnoliopsida; Asparagales; Orchidaceae. The transcript is spliced from 4 exons. The record is from RefSeq and is a predicted model, not a curated record.